Molecule: unclassified non-coding RNA, 200 nt
Filed under: soil metagenome
Description: partial contains internal transcribed spacer 2 and large subunit ribosomal RNA
Source: RNAcentral
GAGUGGUUUUGGAUGUGGGGGUUUGCUGGUCUCUUUAAAGGUUUCAGCUCCCCUGAAAUGCAUUAGCAGAACAACCUGUUCAUUGGCGUGAUAACUAUCUAUGCUAUUGAAUGUGAAGGGCAGUUCAGCUUUCUAACAGUCUUUGGACAAUUCAUCAUUAAUGUGGCCUCAAAUCAGGUAGGACUACCCGCUGAACUUAA